This 465-nucleotide ribosomal RNA is filed under the name Vreelandella stevensii. Its description in RNAcentral is "partial 16S ribosomal RNA". It matches the Rfam family "Bacterial small subunit ribosomal RNA", at positions 338 to 795 of the family's 1533-position model. The record is from RNAcentral. Lineage: Bacteria; Pseudomonadati; Pseudomonadota; Gammaproteobacteria; Oceanospirillales; Halomonadaceae.
CCUACGGGAGGCAGCAGUGGGGAAUAUUGGACAAUGGGGGCAACCCUGAUCCAGCCAUGCCGCGUGUGUGAAGAAGGCCCUCGGGUUGUAAAGCACUUUCAGUGAGGAAGAACGCCUGGUGGUUAAUACCCAUCAGGAAAGACAUCACUCACAGAAGAAGCACCGGCUAACUCCGUGCCAGCAGCCGCGGUAAUACGGAGGGUGCGAGCGUUAAUCGGAAUUACUGGGCGUAAAGCGCGCGUAGGUGGCUUGAUAAGCCGGUUGUGAAAGCCCCGGGCUCAACCUGGGAACGGCAUCCGGAACUGUCAAGCUAGAGUGCAGGAGAGGAAGGUAGAAUUCCCGGUGUAGCGGUGAAAUGCGGAGAGAUCGGGAGGAAUACCAGUGGCGAAGGCGGCCUUCUGGACUGACACUGACACUGAGGUGCGAAAGCGUGGGUAGCAAACAGGAUUAGAUACCCCGGUAGUC